GAUGCAAGUUGUAGUUUAAUAAUUUCCUGAUAAAGAUGAAUUGCUGUGGGUCCAUGAUGUUUGAUCACAACUGUGAGACACUCUCCAUCUCGGAAUGUAUUUCACAUUCAAGAGGACUGAGACUGAGACAACAUUAAACCAUCAACAUUUACAGACAACAGGUGAAGCUGCCAGGCCAUGAGAACGACAGUAUGAGUGACAUGCGUUCUCUGUCUGGAGGAGAGAGAUCCUUCUCUACAGUGUGCUUCACCCCCUUCAGGACAUGCACAAUCGCCGUAUCUCAUUGGAUCUCCUCCUGGAGCUGUCAGAACGGUAGCAACCUUCAUCAGUUUUUCUUCAUCACCCCCCUAUCUAUCAGGAAGGAGGAAAUAGUAGGAAGAAGAAGUAGGGGAAAUAAGUAGGAGGCAUACAGUGCAUUCGGAAAGUAUUCAGACCCCUUGACCUUUUCCAC
Molecule: long non-coding RNA, 451 nt
Organism: Coregonus clupeaformis (lake whitefish)
Lineage: Eukaryota; Metazoa; Chordata; Actinopteri; Salmoniformes; Salmonidae
Exons: 4
Source: RefSeq, a predicted model, not a curated record